UCCAGACUCCUACGGGAGGCAGCAGUGGGGAAUAUUGCACAAUGGGGGAAACCCUGAUGCAGCAACGCCGCGUGAGUGAAGAAGUCAUUCGUGAUGUAAAGCUCUCUCAGCAGGGAAGAAGCAAGACGGUACCUGACUAAGAAGCCCCGGCUAACUACGUGCCAGCAGCCGCGGUAAUACGUAGGGGGCGAGCGUUAUCCGGAUUCACUGGGUGUAAAGGGAGCGUAGACGGCCAUGCAAGCCAGGGGUGAAAGCCCGGGGCCCAACCCCGGGACUGCCCUUGGAACUGCAUGGCUGGAGUGCGGGAGGGGCAGGCGGAAUUCCUGGUGUAGCGGUGAAAUGCGUAGAUAUCAGGAGGAACACCGGCGGCGAAGGCGGCCUGCUGGACCGCGACUGACGUUGAGGCUCGAAAGCGUGGGGAGCGAACAGGAUUAGAUACCCGCGUA
Molecule: ribosomal RNA, 446 nt
Filed under: uncultured bacterium
Lineage: Bacteria
Description: bacterial SSU rRNA
Rfam family: Bacterial small subunit ribosomal RNA
Source: RNAcentral